RNAcentral lists this ribosomal RNA (253 nucleotides) under uncultured bacterium. RNAcentral describes it as "partial 16S ribosomal RNA". It matches the Rfam family "Bacterial small subunit ribosomal RNA", at positions 524 to 776 of the family's 1533-position model. The record is from RNAcentral.
UACGUAGGGGGCUAGCGUUGUCCGGAAUCAUUGGGCGUAAAGCGCGUGUAGGCGGUCCGGUAAGUCCGCUGUGAAAGUCGGGGGCUCAACCCUCGAAUGCCGGUGGAUACUGUCGGGCUAGAGUGCGGAAGAGGCGAGUGGAAUUCCUGGUGUAGCGGUGAAAUGCGCAGAUAUCAGGAGGAACACCUAUUGCGAAGGCAGCUCGCUGGGACGUAACUGACGCUGAGACGCGAAAGCGUGGGGAGCGAACAGG